Molecule: ribosomal RNA, 468 nt
Filed under: uncultured bacterium
Lineage: Bacteria
Description: partial 16S ribosomal RNA
Rfam family: Bacterial small subunit ribosomal RNA
Source: RNAcentral
GACGAACGCUGGCGGCGUGCUUAACACAUGCAAGUCGAACGGAAAGGCCCUGCUUUUGUGGGGUGCUCGAGUGGCGAACGGGUGAGUAACACGUGAGUAACCUGCCCUUGACUUUGGGAUAACUUCAGGAAACUGGGGCUAAUACCGGAUAGGAGCUCCUGCUGCAUGGUGGGGGUUGGAGAGUUUCGGCGGUUGGGGAUGGACUCGCGGCUUAUCAGCUUGUUGGUGGGGUAGUGGCUUACCAAGGCUUUGACGGGUAGCCGGCCUGAGAGGGUGACCGGCCACAUUGGGACUGAGAUACGGCCCAGACUCCUACGGGAGGCAGCAGUGGGGAAUAUUGCACAAUGGGCGGAAGCCUGAUGCAGCAACGCCGCGUGCGGGAUGACGACCUUCGGGUUGUAAACCGCUUUCGCCUGUGACGAAGCGUGAGUGACGGUAAUGGGUAAAGAAGCACCGGCUAACUACGUG